Molecule: ribosomal RNA, 450 nt
Filed under: uncultured bacterium
Lineage: Bacteria
Description: partial 16S ribosomal RNA
Rfam family: Bacterial small subunit ribosomal RNA
Source: RNAcentral
GUGGGGAAUUUUGGACAAUGGGCGCAAGCCUGAUCCAGCCAUUCCGCGUGCAGGAUGAAGGCCUUCGGGUUGUAAACUGCUUUUGUACGGAACGAAAAGCCUCUGGUUAAUACCCGGGGGUCAUGACGGUACCGUAAGAAUAAGCACCGGCUAACUACGUGCCAGCAGCCGCGGUAAUACGUAGGGUGCGAGCGUUAAUCGGAAUUACUGGGCGUAAAGCGUGCGCAGGCGGUGCUGUAAGACAGGCGUGAAAUCCCCGGGCUCAACCUGGGAAUUGCGCUUGUGACUGCAGUGCUGGAGUGCGGCAGAGGGGGAUGGAAUUCCGCGUGUAGCAGUGAAAUGCGUAGAUAUGCGGAGGAACACCGAUGGCGAAGGCAAUCCCCUGGGCCUGCACUGACGCUCAUGCACGAAAGCGUGGGGAGCAAACAGGAUUAGAAACCCCGGUAGUCC